RNAcentral lists this ribosomal RNA (451 nucleotides) under uncultured bacterium. RNAcentral's name for it is "partial 16S ribosomal RNA". It matches the Rfam family "Bacterial small subunit ribosomal RNA", at positions 354 to 796 of the family's 1533-position model. The record is from RNAcentral.
GUGGGGAAUAUUGGACAAUGGGGGGAACCCUGAUCCAGCCAUGCCGCGUGUGUGAAGAAGGCCUUUUGGUUGUAAAGCACUUUAAGCGAGGAGGAGGCUACCGAGAUUAAUACUCUUGGAUAGUGGACGUUACUCGCAGAAUAAGCACCGGCUAACUCUGUGCCAGCAGCCGCGGUAAUACAGAGGGUGCAAGCGUUAAUCGGAUUUACUGGGCGUAAAGCGCGCGUAGGUGGCCAAUUAAGUCAAAUGUGAAAUCCCCGAGCUUAACUUGGGAAUUGCAGUCGAUACUGGUUGGCUAGAGUAUGGGAGAGGAUGGUAGAAUUCCAGGUGUAGCGGUGAAAUGCGUAGAGAUCUGGAGGAAUACCGAUGGCGAAGGCAGCCAUCUGGCCUAAUACUGACACUGAGGUGCGAAAGCAUGGGGAGCAAACAGGAUUAGAAACCCGUGUAGUCC